UACGUAGGGUGCAAGCGUUGUCCGGAAUUAUUGGGCGUAAAGAGCUCGUAGGCGGUUCGUCGCGUCGGCUGUGAAAACCCGGAGCUCAACUCCGGGCCUGCAGUCGAUACGGGCGGACUUGAGUGUUGCAGGGGAGACUGGAAUUCCUGGUGUAGCGGUGAAAUGCGCAGAUAUCAGGAGGAACACCGGUGGCGAAGGCGGUUCUCUGGGCCGAUACUGACGCUGAGGAGCGAAAGCGUGGGGAGCGAACAGG
RNAcentral lists this ribosomal RNA (253 nucleotides) under uncultured bacterium. RNAcentral's name for it is "partial 16S ribosomal RNA". It matches the Rfam family "Bacterial small subunit ribosomal RNA", at positions 524 to 776 of the family's 1533-position model. The record is from RNAcentral.